This 253-nucleotide ribosomal RNA is filed under the name uncultured bacterium. RNAcentral describes it as "partial 16S ribosomal RNA". It matches the Rfam family "Bacterial small subunit ribosomal RNA", at positions 524 to 776 of the family's 1533-position model. The record is from RNAcentral.
UACGUAGGGUCCGAGCGUUGUCCGGAAUUAUUGGGCGUAAAGGGCUCGUAGGUGGCCAACUAAGUCGGACGUGGAAUCCCUCAGCUUAACUGGGGAACUGCGUCCGAUACUGGAUGGCUUGAGUUUGGGAGAGGGAUGCGGAAUUCCAGGUGUAGCGGUGAAAUGCGUAGAUAUCUGGAGGAACACCGGUGGCGAAGGCGGCAUCCUGGACCAACACUGACACUGAGGAGCGAAAGCCAGGGGAGCAAACGGG